RNAcentral lists this ribosomal RNA (463 nucleotides) under uncultured Methanomicrobiales archaeon. RNAcentral's name for it is "bacterial SSU rRNA". It matches the Rfam family "Archaeal small subunit ribosomal RNA", at positions 875 to 1338 of the family's 1478-position model. Lineage: Archaea; Methanobacteriati; Methanobacteriota; Methanomicrobia; Methanomicrobiales. The record is from RNAcentral.
AGCACCACAACAGGUGGAGCCUGCGGUUUAAUCGGACUCAACGCCGGGAAACUCACCAGAUAAGACAGCUGAAUGAUAGUCGGGCUGAAGACUCUACUUGACUAGCCGAGAGGAGGUGCAUGGCCGUCGUCAGUUCGUACUGUGAAGCAUCCUGUUAAGUCAGGCAACGAGCGAGAUCCACGCCAACAGUUGCCAGCUCGUCCUCCGGGAUGGUGGGGACACUGUUGGGACCGCCUCUGCUAAAGAGGAGGAAGGAAUGGGCAACGGUAGGUCAGUAUGCCCCGAAUAUCCCGGGCUACACGCGAGCUACAAUGGUUGGUACAAUGGGUAUCUACCCCGAAAGGGGACGGGAAUCUCCUAAACCAAUCUUAGUUCGGAUUGAGGGCUGCAACUCGCCCUCAUGAAGCUGGAAUCCGUAGUAAUCGCGUUUCAACAGAACGCGGUGAAUACGUCCCUGCUCCUU